GCUUUGGAGGAUGGCCCCUGGAUGUUUGACAAUGCCUUGGUGGUGAUGAAGGAGUUUAUCCCAAGGAAGAGGAUUGACGAUUAUGGGUUUAAGGAAAUUCCGAUCUGGAUUAGAGUGUACGGAUUGCCCCUGGGUUACAUGGAUGAGGAGACUGAAGAGAUGAUCGGGGACAUGGUGGGGGAGUUUGUGGAAGUGGACACGGGGGCGGAUGGUAGAACGAUCGGAAAAUAUUUGCGGGUGAAGGUGAGACUCCAAAUUGAAAAACCUUUGAUGCGUGGGUUCAAGCUGGAAACAGAACAGGCAGAAAGGGCAGGCGAGGAGGAUACCAAUCAAAGCACGGAGGAGGAGGGGAAGGAGGAGGAACAAUGGUGUCGGUUUGAGUAUGAAUAUCUACCCGACAUAUGCUAUAUCUGUGGAAGGCUAGGCCAUGUCGAUCGCGAAUGCUUGAUCAAACUGAAGAAGGGAGAGAGGGCCCAAUUUGGUCGAUGGUUGAAGGCGGACAUGGGAACGAACAGGAGUGGGGGAAGGAGGGAGCACGGAGGAGCUCGUCUCGUGGUAAUAGCGGUAGCAGGGCCUACGGCUUUUGGAGGCAAUCCGAUCGGUCGGGUAGUGACAGCCUGUCUUGGAUGA
RNAcentral lists this ribosomal RNA (630 nucleotides) under Triticum aestivum (bread wheat). RNAcentral's name for it is "partial small subunit ribosomal RNA". The record is from RNAcentral. Lineage: Eukaryota; Viridiplantae; Streptophyta; Magnoliopsida; Poales; Poaceae.